GGGCGAGUGGCUCAGUGGUAGAGCGCCAAACUGAUAAUUUGGAGGUCGAAGGUUCGAUCCCUUCCUCGCCCA
RNAcentral lists this transfer RNA (72 nucleotides) under bacterium. Its description in RNAcentral is "tRNA-Ile". It matches the Rfam family "tRNA". From Rfam's summary of the family: Transfer RNA (tRNA) molecules are approximately 80 nucleotides in length. The record is from RNAcentral.